Long non-coding RNA from Columba livia (rock pigeon), 23712 nucleotides. RefSeq lists it as uncharacterized. The record is from RefSeq and is a predicted model, not a curated record. The transcript has 3 exons. Lineage: Eukaryota; Metazoa; Chordata; Aves; Columbiformes; Columbidae.
UGGCAUGGGGCAGGAACCCCAAGGGUGGGGUCCAGUGUGUGUGGGGGGAUGUGGGGAUUGCCUUAUGGGGUCAGAGUGGAGGUUGGGGUCCUCUAGAGAAGAAAACCCAUGGGGGCAGAUAAGUGUGAAGUUUUGGGAGAUACAGCUGAGGAGGAGUCCUUCGAGGAGCAGAAGGAGGUGGAAGCGCAGGUUUGGGUUUGGUGGGGGAGUAAAAGCACCCUGGAGGGUGACGGCUGCCCCAAGGACAUGGGAGAGGCCUUGUGGAAGGACUGUGUACUACCUGGGAAGGGGGCUAGCUGGUGGGCUCCGGGCGGGGGCCCUGCUGUGUGGGGAUCCCCUUCCCUACGGCUGCUUUCCCAGCAGAGCCCAUCUUGGAGCUGGGGUAGCAGCUACCGUGGGGGUCCUGGCCCCCUCUGACUCCCCCCGGCUCAGGCACUGGGUGCCAGGGAAAAAGGAGCAUCCCCCGAGGACACAGCCCCGAGUACGGGGGCGCCAACAGGCUCCUGACCUGUUGCUGCGAUUGCUGUGGGAGGCUCCUGGGGAUGCCGAUACAGCAGAGCUUGGUUUUAAUAAUGCCUCCUGUCCCUUGUGAUCAGCUGCAAGCUCUUUCCUUUCCGUGGGAUGUUGAAAAUUUCCGAAUCGAGCCUGGGAGUAGAAACCAGCAUUUUCUCCUUUGAAAUCACCCCUACUUGACUUAUGCCUCCUUGCUGGUUUUGCCUCUCUGUCUGUGACUGGGUCUCUGACCCUGUUUGCCUAACUAGUUCAGCAGCACGACUUAGAAUUCCCUCCCUUCCCUAUUGCUGAGGCUUUAUUUAAAAGCACUCCUGACCUGGGCUGUACCUCUCAGCUUUGCUCCCCUGGAGGACGGGCGUGCAGCCGGGUACCUGCCCACACUGCUCUGGGUACCGGCACAUGCUGCUCCAGGUACUGGAAGACACUGCUCCAGGUACAAGCAGAUGCUGCUGCAGGUACCGGUGGACAUUGCUCUGCUCGUGGGGAGACAUGUGGAGAGGGGGGCGAAGAAACACUGGCAGCAGGGAAAACUUUUGCACCUUGCAGGCUGCUGCCUUCCUGUAGCCAGGCUGUGACUCCUGCGGUCCCUGCUCCUGUGCCCCCGCCUGUCCCCCCUCUUUUGCCCAGCUGUGAAAGGCUGAGAGAGCCGAGAGUCUGGAGAACACGUUGAUGUGAAAUCUUGCUUGACUACAGAAUAUGAGUGUCAAGGGAGUGAGUUUUACACUCUCCAGAAGAAGCCAAGGGCAUUUAGAUUUAAGGAAUCUGGUGCUGACUUCCUGGCUUAUGCUUUUACAAGAAGUUGGGGGGGGCAGGGGGGAGACUUGCAGUGAUGGGUUGAGAAGUGAUUUUCUGAGUUAAUGCUGAAAUUUUUUUCUUUUAUGGACUUUAUUUCAGAAUUUUUAUGUUACCUCACUGGGUUAUUUUGCUUAAUUUUAUUAUCCUUAUUCCUUUACAAUGCAUGUGAUUUCCUUGACCCUAUCUCUGUGUAACACAAACACAGGCAAAUAACACAGUUUAAGGACACUUUAAUGAACGUGGUGCUCUGUGAUGUCCACAGGGGUGAAUAAUAAAAUAACUGGCACAUCCUUAACCAGCGUUAUGUGAAACAUGCAGCUGGAAUAUUCACACAGUCAAGCGUAUCUUGGCAGAGGAGCUUGGACAUCCAGAAAAGGGUUUGCUCUCUUCAGAUUACAAAACUUUUAACAGGUUGUUGUAGCCAUUAGGAAAAACAAACAAAUAAAGGAAACAAAACAAAAUAAACCCAAAACAAACAAAAAAAACCAAAAACAAACCUACAACCAAAACCAAGACAUGAAUUUGCCAGCUUCACUUGAUACUCCUCUGCUCAGAUUCACAUCCUUGCUUCCCUUUGCAGCAUGCCUGCAAAACAUAUACGAGGGUUUGCUUUUCUUUUAAAGCAGUGACAAGGAAAGCAGUCUGGCACUUGAAGAGCAGGGAUUGGAAUUCCCUUUCAAAUGCUGAUGUCAAGCUAGUUUCAUGAGUACCCUGAGAGCAGGUUUUUGCCUGCAAAAGGCAGGUGUUGAGGCUUUUUAAUUUUUUUAAGUGCUUAAAGGUAUUUGCCCUUUUUCCCCUUUACAGUUUGAAAAGGCUCCUUUGGCUGAUUCAGGGCUGGAAUGCAGAGCUCGUGCUAUUCCUAAAUUAAGAGGCUGGCAAGUUUUUUUGUCCCUGAUGAGAGGCAGAAGGAUUGCCCAAAUGAAACAAGGAAUAAAACUCUGCAAAUUCUCCUGCUGUGGCUGCAGCAUUGUUUAGUCUUCUACUUAGGUCUGCAAAGCCAAUCCUGAAAUGGUUGUAGGCGGAAAGUAACAUAAACCACCACGUAGCUAGGAAGCAAGGGAUGUUGCUCAUUGCACAAGAGGCUUUGGGUAUUUUGAAGAUGUUGGGAAUGUUGGAACAGAAUAGCAGCAGUCUGUGGAAAUCAUGCUGAGAACCCCCAGGGAGGUGAGUGCACGAACUCCCACCGACGGUGGGAGUGAGACGAAGGCUCAGCACCUCCAGGGAUCAGGGCCUCUGAAAUAGUUUCAGUGCCACCGGACCACACUCUUUUACAGUUUAUUUCAGGUCAUUGCUUAACAAACUUUACGUACUGCUGACUGGAACCGCCUGAACUGGGGACAGAAGGUUGUUAUUGUGCGUUGAAGCUCGCACAGAGUUCAUGCCAGCCUGGAGUGUGUUUAUUCUCUCAGCACCUCAGCGACAUCGGCACGCUGUUUUGCAGAUGGACUAAAUGAUGUGCCUGAGGUCCACUGGGACACACAGAGCAGCAAGGACUGUCUGUACAUCAUGUUAGCAGUUUGUGUCCUGGCAGAUAAUGUCCCACUCCCCAGUAGCCAUCUUCUCAUCAGGCAGGUUUGGGGUGGCCCAGGACCGAAUGAGUCCUGGAGAUCCAAUGUGCAUUGAGAGGCGUUUCAGGUACCAUUGGGGUCUCGUAACCUCUCCAAGUCUCAGCUGGAGGGUGGAGAUGCUGCCUUCUGCUUUGACCAUCAUGAACUGCAAUCAGGGGCUUGUGUGGUCUUGUCCAGCUCUCAGUGCACCAUCCCUCUCCCUUCCUUCUGCUGGGUUUAGCUGUCACCUUGUGUCAGAGUAGGCUGGUUCAGGAAUUAAUCCUUCAGAAAGCUAGCCCCAGGAAACAAGGCAAUGGUUUUCUGUCAGAUCAAGGUGCAGCAGGGCGACAGUGCUGCUGCAAGGUGGGAACUUGUGCUAGGAGGUGGAGCAGGGCAGAUCUGAGUGAUGCCAGCAACUGUCCUAAACUCUCUUGCCUGAGGUGUGAGAAUAGCUGAAGAACAUUUAUUUACUGCUAAUGGAGAGAAGGUCCUAGGGAUAAAACUUGUUCCACUCUGAAAAAAUGCUCUUGAGCCAUUGUUCAAAGCUGACCAGUUAAGGGAUUUUUUUUUCCCCUUUUGCCAGCGCAGUUCAGUCAGGUUUUUGUAGUAUUUCUUUAUUUUGUGGUGGGGUAUUUGUACUAAUUCAGUGGGAUGUGCCUCUGAACCCACUGCUAAAUAUUGAGUUCUGCUUUGGAAACUCGCUUUUUUCUUAAAACAAAUGUGUUUUUUUAGUCUGUGCCAGUGCAAGAUAAUCUUUCCAAAUGGAAAGAUAGCUGUGCAAAGAAUGUAGCCCCAGGCAAACUUGAACUUGCAGGGCUGGAGCUGCCUCAUUCACCUAGUCAGAGACUCCACUUUGAACUCCCACCAUAUGAAAACAGCGUCAAAAUAGUUAACUGUUAAAAACGCAGCUUAUUUUAGCAUCCAACUAAAAUCCUUAUUUGGGUAGCCCAAAAUGCCACACAUCCUUCCUUAUGGGUCAAAUGUCAAAACCUCCAUUUCCCCUUGGCAGGCAGCAGCUAAAAGACAAGUUUAAUGUAUUGCUCCAAACACAGACGACUCUGAGGCUGGAGGUAGCAUAAUGUAAGUGGAAUUUUAACAGCAACUUGAAAAUCAUGCCAGUAAUGCUAUUGAGUGCAUUUUUCACAUCCACUGAAUUGCCAGGAAGACUUCUGCUUUUCUCCUGCUUUUAUAAAGAAAUGAAGCAUCCAUCAUGAUCUGCCAUGUGCAUGUGUGGAUCUGUCCUUCUGCCCGCACAACUUCUGACCCUGUCAGUCAGGGUGGCCAGAUCUAGCACAGCAGUGGAGGUCCUGAAGGCACCGUGUUGCUAAAAAGUGGGCGAGGGGUAGAGGAGAGCCAGGCUGAGUGUCCCCUUGUCCUCUGUUAGAUGCCUUUUGGGGCAGAAGCCCACGAGCAAGAGGGAGGUUAGUUAAGAGUGCUGCAACCAGGUGUUCAGCCUAGGUUAUGCAAGCUUGAACAUUACUAGGCACCAGAGAUGCUGACUGCAAGAACCAAAUCCACAAGGGCGUGUUAAUAUGUCCACAUCUACUACAGCAGCUCUGCUCAGGCUAAACUGAAUAUCUGCAGAGCUCCUUGCAUUGGAAGAAAUUAUUAUAAGUGUAAUGCAAUUAAUAACAGCUCUAAGGAUGAUACGUGAAUGAAAAAAGCCCACAGAGCUCAUCUGUCCUUGCUGCCUCUGGGGCUUUGCCAGUAGGUGCACCAGGUGUCCGGGCUCCUUCAUGGCAGCUGUGUCUGGUCAAGAGCUAACCAGGUCAGGCCAUGAGCUGGCUGUCAUUGUUAAGCAUUAAGACAAUAAAUAACACCUUGUGGAGCAGCUUCUUGAAAAUAACGCUACGCCCUGCCCCAGUCUCACUUGAGUUUGCUGUGAUGCUUGUAUGAAAAUGGUGAUUUAGAGGGAGGGGGAAGCCUGGGAAGAUUUCGAGGCUCUGGCCCAAAGGAGAAAUGUGUUUUCAUGCUAUCCCUUGGCAAAUGACUUGUUUCCUUCUUGCCCUUUGCAGUUGUUUCCUUUCCCCUGAGUUUCAGGAUCAUACUCGCUGAGCAUGGUGUUUGUCAAGGGAACAGCAAGAAGCCCUGUCUGUGAGAAAGUCCAUGUCGUUUGUUUUAUCCACAUCCAGGAAUUGAGCUGAGGUAAACAAUUCAGGAGGCAAAACAGUGAAAACUGGAAUGCAAGAGGUGUGUUUGUGUAUGGCUCUGUGCUAGACCUGGCUGCAGUAAUUUAUCUGCCCGAUGAGCAGCUGUCACUGUUACCCACAAACACAGCUGGGUUUGUGAAGACAGGGUUUCAUCCUGCCAGUCAGUAGCACUCCUGUACCUGCUUCUCCUGGUCAUGUGUUCAGCACUGGUGACCUUGGAGAAUCAGCAAUUUCCUUGGUGGAUUUUUUGCAUUUCUGUUCGGAUUGGGCAAUUCCAGCUUUCCGAGCAUGGUCAUGGCUGCCUUCCCUGCUGGGGCUCUGAUUCCUUCAGGGAGGGUCUUUUGGUUUAAGCAGACAAAGAGGAAGGUCAAGGUAAAAGGUAAAGAUGAUUUCAAAGCCCUUCUGUUACAGGAGGAGGGCUGAGCUUGGUGGUGUACUGAGUUUCCAGGUGUAAGAAUUUCUGGUUUCUUUCCUUGACUCGGCACAAUAUGUAACGCCAAUCCAGUGACUGUUUAGCAAACCCCUUCCGUAUCAGAGGGAUGCAAACCCAUGGUCAUUAUGUGCACAUCCAGUAUUGCUUCUACCCAGCAUCACCCCUGGAUCUUCCUUAGGGAGGUGCUGCCUAAAUCAGUGCAUGUGUGACCACUUUUGAGGGUGUCCUUUAGCAGCACAUAUCUAACAUGUUUGGCUUGGCUUUCCAACGUGUCCUUGCUGUUUGCAUCUUCCAGAAGAAGGAGGUUUGUAGUGUCCAUGUCUGCCUGGGGGAGUUGUGUUGUAGGUGUCCCUUUGCUGUGUGCCAAGCAACAACAUGCUGCUUCAUGGGUGCCGAGUGUGCUAUGGGAUUUGGAGGCUCACCACGGUGCAUGAUCCUGUUGUGGACUCAGGAGAGAAGGAAAAAUCCUUGCUAGGGGUCGUAACAUUUUGUGCAGAUUCUUUUCCGCUGCCUUUUCAUCCCUGCUGAGCUGAUCUCGUGACAGUUGUGCCCCAUUCUCUCCCUGUUCUACUGCAUAUCCUCAUGGUCCAUCAUACAGGUCUUGGUCCUUGUCUGGAAACUGGGUAGGCUAUUAUAGGGAGUUAACCCAACCAAAUCUUCACUUUUUGGGAAAAAUGAGUUUUCUGCCAGUUCAGCAGAUUGCAAAUGCUGUCCUAUUAUUAUUUCCACAAAGAUAAGCUACCUUCAGCAAAUGUGGUCUACUUUGACUUCAGUAAAGCAUCUGACACAGUCUCCCACAGCAUCCUUGCUGCUAAACUGAGGAAGUGUGGUUUGGAUGAUCGGGUAGUGAGGUGGACUGCAAACUGGCUGAAGGAAAGAAGCCAGAGGGUUGUGGUCAAUGGGGCAGAGUCUAGUUGGAGGCCUGUAUCUAGUGGAGUGCCUCAGGGGUCCAGUACUGGGACCAGUACUAUUCAAUAUAUUCAUCAACAACUUGGAUGAGGGACUAGAGUGCACUGUCAGCAAGUUUGCUGAUGACACCAAGCUGGGAGGAGUGGUUGGCACGCCAGAAGGCUGUGCUGCCAUCCAGCCAGACCUGGACAGGCUGGAGAGUUGGGCGGAGAAAAAUGUAGUGAAAUAUAACAAAUGCAAGUGUAGAGUCUUGCAUCUGGGCAAGAACAACCCCAGGUUCCAGUAUAAGAUGAGGAAUGACCUAUUAGAGAGUAGUGUAGGGGAAAGGGACCCGGGGGUCCUGGUGGACAGCAGAAUGACCAUGAGCCAGCACUGUGCCCUUGUGGCCAGGAAGGCCAAGAGCAUCUCCCAUAUGAGGAAAGGCUGAGGGAGCUGGGUCUCUUUAGUUUGGAGAAGAGGAGACUGAGGGGUGACCUUAUUAAUAUUUAUAAAUAUGUAAAGGGUGAGCGUCACGAGGAUGGAGCCAGGCUCUUCUCAGUGACAACAAUAGGACAAGGGUCAAUGGGUACAAACUGGAAUACAGGAGUUUCUACUUAAAUAUGAGAAGAAACUUCUCAGUGAGGGUGACAGACACUGCAACAGGCUGCCCAGGGGGAUUGUGGAGUCUCCUUCUCUGGAGACAUUCAAAACCCACCUGGACACAUUCCUGUGUAGCCUCAUCUGGGUGUUCCUGCUCCAGCAGGGGGGUUGAACUAGAUGAUCUUUUGAAGUCCCUCCCAGUCCCUAACAUUCUGUGAUUCUGUGACCGAACUGUCGACUGAAAAAUCUUUACCCACCUUCAGCAGUCACUGCCAACAAGCUGGGAGGUGUUUCUCAUUCAUGAACUGGCCACGUGUGACCUCAUUAAACAUACGAGUUGACAUCAAAUUACAAGUGAACAUGAUGUGGUGGUUAUCCUGUGCAAAGGCCUAAGAGAAAGGGUUAGUGCACAGUUACCAAAGCUUUGCUGCAGCUGAGCAUUUGACAGCUCGUUGUAACUGCAUUAUUGAUUGUCUUCUCUUCAGUGUUCUGUCUCUCAUGUAAUUUAGCUAGAUACCAGGAGAAAAUAAAGUCUCCUGCUGCAUCAGCUUAUGGUAGAAAUAAAUUGUUUUAGAAAGGAAAGGGUCAGUAAUCACGUGCCUUUCUUAUGGACUGGAAUACUGGGAAACAUCAGGUCACUUUUAUAAGCCUUGAACUAUCCUUUGACAUUGCAGCUUUUAUUCUGAAGAAAGCUGCACUGUGCCUCUUGGCUGGUAAGGGAACAAGUUCACUGCCUGGUGCUCUCUGUAGUCAAAGAUCCCAUUAAUUCUGCCGGCUGUGAGGAAUGAUUUCUUGGUAUUUCAUUCUGGACUGUAAUUGAGAGUGACACAAAGCACUGGUGGGAAUUGGACCGUGUUUAAAUCUCUGCUUUUCUUUACAAUUUCUGCAGAUAAACCAGCUUAGGUGGGAUGAGGGGUUUUCUAAUGCUCUGCCCUUGAAAUUAAUAAUGCCUCCAACACCUUACUGGCUGGAGGUGACUUUGGAGAGGAGUUUUUGUGCCUCCUUGCAGCUUGUCCUUGUAGCCAGGUGAUGCAGGAUACCUACAACAGUGAUAUGCUGUUGCAGUCACUUGCAUGGAGUUGUCUAUGGGAGAGUCCUGUAGUCCAAUAACGUAGAGAAAAAUCAUGAAGCCUUGCCCAGUAUUUUGGCUUGAGACCACAGCAAGAUUUCCCUGAAGGAUCUUGCCUUUCAGACUUCAGACAGGGCAGCAUAUUCACAGCUCUUCUGGCUAGUUGUGGAAGACCAAGUCCAUGCUAAUGGACUUCUCUUGGCUUGCUGAGGAGGUUGUUUGAUAACCCUCGCACAUUUUCCUCUUGCUGUUUUCAAACUGGAAAAGGGUGGGCACCUGAUGCCACAUCCCAAGAGUUCUUGCUGUUCAGUCUGUGGGAAGUGGUGGAUGCAGUGAGUUUUUGAAGGCAUUUCUGUGGUUUUGAAUGUCCUCCAAGACCUUUUUGGUACCUCCAAAGAUCAGGUGUGUGUCCCUCAGUGACCUGUUGCCUAUAGCGUAGGGAGUGCCCUGUAGUUCAGAAGUCCCAAAUUUUCCUCUUGAGGGGACCACAACAGGUCCUGCCUGACCCCAGUGAAGGCAGAAGAUAAGAAUCAGUGAAACUGUCCAGAAUUUGGCCAUUUUUCAUCUGGAAAGUUGCUUGUGGGUCAUUUUUUGUUUGAAUCCAGGAGGUUUUGUCUGUGGAGUUCGGUGUGCUGUUCAUCUGUGAGCUGAACUGUUGGGGAGACACAGGGUUUGCGACUGGCGUGAUGGCAGCCCUCCCACGCAGCUCAUGUGGAAAUGCUCGUUUCCUGUGGCUUUCAGCAGGCGAGUGGUUCAUCUCCAUCUGGUGCUGUUUCAUCUGGCACUUCAAAACUAAGCAGAAAGGGGAGGGGAACUGAGUGUGGGGCUCCAUCCUCCUGUGCUGUUGGAGUCCAGAGCUGGUGCAGGGGCUCUGCCCUUUAGCCCGGGCGGGGAUGUGGAGCUGCCAAGACUGUGGAUAAUCCAAGGUGACUGGCUUGGAGGCUCCCUAGGAUGCCUGGAUUGUGUCCUCUGGGUCCUGGCUGCUGGGAGAGUUUGGUAUGGAGGUUGUAGGGUCAGGGUGGAUGGCCACCAUGGUGUUUCUGUUAGUAGUGAGGCUAACUCAAGAACCCCAGGGCUUUCCAUAGUUGUUUUUUGUUUUUCCUGGUCAUCCUUGCUCACCCUACAGUGCCUCUGCUGAAGACAAACUCCAGUACACUGGUCAAUUAUGUGUUGCUUCUUAGGGACUCCUGUCAGGGGUGCUACAAAUCUCCGUGGUAGUUACUUUGCUCUUCUAGGUUUACAGCUGAACAAGCAUGAGGAAAAUACUGAGUGACAACACUAUAAUUAAUCUUACCACUGCUUUCUGAAGGCUGGAAUACCUGCUCCAGGCUCCAUCCCAGGCUCUGGCAAGACACCUCCUAGUCCAGCUGGUCAAGGACAACACUGUCAUGGUGGAACCUUCUCCCUGUCUCCACUAUCCAGCUCCAAGAGCAUUUUUUUCUCUACCAUAGUGCCCACCACUAACCAAGGACCAUGAGUUUGAUACAUCCCUCAUAUGUAGACAGCAUUCUUGCUUCUGAACAUUGUAUGAACUAAAUUGAUGUAAUGGCAGGGAAGUCACUGCAGCACCAUUCUGAUCUGACUGUGGUGUGAAUGGACAGGUAAAUCAUCUGCCAUGAUGGAAACUGGGUUGAGGAGGCCUAAAGCAUUGGGUAUCCCUGGAAGGGGAGCUUUUCCUUUGGCCAUGGUGAGCAGUGCUUUUCCAUGGCUUGUGCAGGUGGUUUUGGGAGGAUUUUGUUUAGACUGUUAAAAAUCCAGGUUGUUAUAGGCAGUCCAUUACACAGGACAUUCGGGGUAAAUCUGGGUUUCUAUUGGUGUUCAGGGAAUAUGAUCAUUCCUGGGACUGGGUGCUGAGACAGUGCCAGAGGUACUACUUACAGGCUAACCCUCUAACCUAUCACUGAAUUUAAAGAGGAAUCCAGAAUUGGGGGAGAAAAACUAGACUAUGGCAAAAUAGUACCUUCUUACACAAUAGGUCAUCUCCCUGUGGGUAUUCUGACUCAUUUUGUUGUUGUUGAUUUUAGUGACUAAAGUAAGUUUAUUCCAUACUUCUUUUCCCUGCCAGGCCCCACAGAUCCUGUAACCCCCAGCUUGAAGGAGUGAGACAGAUUCCAUUAAUUCUUUUGCAUUAUUGAGGGAUUUUGGUUGAUGAGAUUUUUGCCUGGAAUUUGUCUGUGGAGGAGCCCGGCUUCCCACUGCCUGCAGAUGGGACCUGGAAAGCUCAGCCUCCUAGCUGGGUGGUGGGAAUACAACUUCUGACAUCUCCAGGACAAAUUUGGUACCCUACUCCCUUCAGAGCACCUGUCACUGAGAGCAUGGCCAAGGCUGGGCAGGUGUAAACAGUUAGUCUGCAGAGCUUUGAAUAAUGCUGACUGCCUGUUUUGGGCUGAUUUUGGAGAUCUAGACCUCUGUGCACAUGACUGGGGCAUACUUGGUCUGGGGGCACUGGGAGGAAUUUGGCAUGGAGCCCUCUGAUGCAACUGUCUUGUUUAGUAAAACUUGGGCUGUGGGUGUUGGUGUGAGGAAAUAACAACAUCCACUUUGGUUUCUGCAGUCUCUGUCCCGGGGGCUGGCUGGAUGUUGCAGGAGGCCGCAGGAAUCCUGCUCGUGACCACAGCCAGAUUAAUGUCCAUUUUGGCAGCUUUUCAAGAGUGAGGAAUUUGGCCACUUUCACAAUAAUGGCUAGAAAUUCCACAUGAAUUAAUUAGUUUUAUUACAGGACGUGUCCUUCCUGUUCCUCCAGGGCUCCCUGGAACACUGAACUCAUUUCAUGAAGAAAUGAAAAUAGUCCUAAAAAUAAGAACUGGUAUCCCAAGCCUUUGUGAGGAAGCUCGCAGAGUAUACCGACAUCCUCCACCAAAUGUGCUUCCCAAGCUGUGGCUUUUGGCCAGAUGAGAUCUAAACUCAAGUUUAGAUCAGUUGCAGCCAUUAAAACCCCCCAGCUUGUUCCUCAAGGGUGUCUUCUCUCAGCCUCUUGGCCCCUGUUCAGCUUAAGCCAUUCAUCUGGGCUUCUUAAUUACUCCCACAGUUUCAGUUUGAUGGUGUGUUCAGAUCUGACUCUUGGAUGUUGCACAGUGGAGGCUGCAUACCUUCAGCCUUCUGUGUCCAUGGGGUGGGUUUCCAUAGCCCUUGUCCUGCCUUGCAAGGACACCAUUUGCUUCUGUGGUAGUAAAGUGCUUGGAAAUACUCUUGGGAAAGGGUGCUCUGCAUUUGAAUUUUGGUCAAGGGCAUGCCAUAAAAAUGUCAGUAUGGGACUUUGGAAAGGUCAGCUUGAGAGUAGUCAGAAUAAGGUUAGAUUGAGUAAAUAUUUUGGGAGCCCAGAGCUGAUAACUUUCCCUUGCUUACAUUUGUGGGGAGUCAGCCUGUAGAAGCUUACUGCCUCUCACGUGGCUUUUUAAACAAAGGUUGUCCAUGGACUCAGUGUACUUCUGUUUUAAUCCCAUUUUAGAAGAGCUGAUGUCUUGAGCUUCAUGUGCUGCUAAGAGGCAACUGUGCAAAAGACACGCUGUUUGCCAGUUGUUCCAGUGUUUGCUUUAAGAUUACUUCAGAUACUUAUGUUUGGAAAGGGGGUUCUCCGUUUGAGUCUAAGCCCUACUUUCUGCUCAGCCCCACCUUUGUGGAGCAAAGCUUGACUUGUUUGCUUUUUUCCCCCUCUUGUUUUGGAUGAAGUGAGUUCAACAUGAGAAAACUGACCAGAGAGGUGGGAAAGUUCCUGCAGGUCCUACUGAAUAGAAUGUGGUUCAGCUGGUGCUCAGCCCUCCUCAGAAAUGUGACCCCCACCCUACAGGAGAUUAAGGCCAGCUAAACUGACAAAGGGCCGCAACACAAUUUUUUCUGCAUUAACAACAUAUGCCUGAUAGAAGAGUAUAAAAUGAUAUUGCAGACAUAAAUUUCUUCUAAAGUCAGAUAGUUGGAAAGCUUCUGUCUUUCUAGUAAUGUUUGUUAUUGAUUUCAGUCAUUGCUUUCUUCCAAUUUUCUGUUUAUUCUGUCCUUUUAUCAGGCUGGUUUCAAGGAUUUGUUACCUUAACCCCUGGCCAUUAGGCUGGUCCCGCGCAUGCUGAAACCACCCUUUGCAGAUUCAGACCAUGCUGAAAAUGCUUGGGCAGUGCAGAUAUAACCAGGCAGGAGACCAGCCUGGCCAAAGUCCGUCAAGCACAUAAUCCUGUCUUAGAUGGUAACCAGUGGUACACAAAUUGGGAAUUUAUGAAAGGAGUAUGCAGUGAGCCCUGGAAGGUAGGAACAGUGCUGUGGAAACCCAUCAUGCUGCUGAUGCUGCUCAGGUCAUGAUGUCAUGGAUUUCCAAUGCAUAGCCCAGUCUGCCAGAUGCUGACAGAGGUACCUGCUUCAUUGUGUGAGCUGCCCUCCUGACUUCUAGCAGUGCGGCUUCAGGCACCGGGGGUGGCAAGCACACCAUUGUCUGCAUACAUCUCUGCAGUGUCUUGAGGCUUUGGGGUAGGAAGAUCUCCAUGUACGAGGUCAAUCUGGGGUUGCUGUUAACAAAUACAGUUUGUCACUUGUUCCCAUGUACUGCCUCACGCGUCUGGGAGCAGCAGCCGUGGCGAGAAGGAAGGUCCCAUCACUUGGGCUGUGCUCAGUGGAAGCACAGCCCUGCCCCCAGGUCUGUUUUUUUCCUGAGUUACAUGCUGAGAGAGUUCAGCCUCUGGGUGGUGGUUGUCAGCAGUGUCCUGUUCCUUGGAACUGAUGUGCCCGAGCACAGCUGAAAUGGCCCAGCUGACCUAAAAACCUGCUUAUGAUUGAAAUGCAGCGGCCCCCUAUAAAUAUUUAACUGAGUCUGUGUUUGUGGGGUUUUCUUCUUUUUUCUUCCCCCCACCCCCCAUUUCUUCUCUUUUAUUGUGCCUACCUAUGUAGAGAGGGUAGUCAACUGAAUGUAUACCCCCUCCAUGGCAUCCUGUGAUGAAGCUGCAUUUUUGGCACUUAAAUUAUGCAUCUUACUUGUCCCCUGUCAUCAGUACCCACGUUCAAGGUUGACACUGAGCUCCGUGUCACAUGUGUGAACGCUCCUGUGGGUGUCUUUACAACUCACUGCGGGUGGCCCGGUGCCAUGAACAUUACAUCCUGAGAAACUCUGCCGAGUCUGCAGUACGGUUUUGCAGUUCUUCUCUUGAAAUGGUGGACUCCCAUCAGAUUUAGGAAACUGUUUUAAUGGGCAGAGUUCCCAAAAUUUUGUCUGUGAAAGAGCUGUGAAUGGGUGGGACUUCAGGCUCUGUGGCAGAAAGUGUCUGCAAAGCAAGACUGCUAUUAGUGCGGUAACACGAUGAAGAAGAUACCUCUGUGAGCGGCUGGCAGACCAGGCUGUGCUUUGGAAACCCCUGAAAUUGAGGGCUGAGUGGUGCCAGCAGCGUGUCCUGAGCAGGGCUCACUGCCUGAUGCCAAUACCUGGGGCUUGUUGUGAAAGAUGUGCAGUCUGCCCUGCACUGGAAUAACCCUGAGCCUGGUUGCUGUCUUCUCUCUCCAACCAUGGAAGCAUACACGGUGCCUGGAGGACAUGCAGUCACAGCCUGGCAGGGACUGGGACAUGGGAGACCAGGUACUGUCACCUUGAUGGAGCUGGGGGGUUUGGCUAGGGCUGCUAGCUUCAUUGCAGGAGCAAUGCCAUGGGGUAGGGUCACACCAUUGCAGCUCAGUGAGGAGCAAAUGCAACUUCCUCAUUGUGACCGUGGUGAACAGCUGCAUUUUGGAGCCAGAGGCAUGGCGUUGGUUCGCUCCGAACCUGGCCUCGUGCAGCAUGGGGCUAGUGCAGUGCCAUUGUGUCCUGGCUUGUGUGGCAUGGGGAGAACUGGGCUUUGGUGGUGUCAGCUGGUUAGUCAGACCUCGAGCAGUCUUAGGCCAGGCUUACAGGCUUGCACUUUUUCCAGCUAGAAACAUGUAUCUGUUUUAAGGCAGCCAGGGCACAGAGUAGGCAAGACUGAACCUCCCUGAAAGCUUUGUAACUCCCCAAGGAGCUGGCUCAGGGACAGGUCUUAGACACCAAAAUUUGGGCAAACAUAUGUUGCAGUGCUGCCUGGAGACUUCUGUCCAGGGUCUUUCCUGUAGAGAGACAUACCCGGGAAGCAGAAAUAGCAAGCAACUAAACGUCAUGGUUACAUCCCUGCCCUCUGAAAAGAGCUCCCUAUUUUCUUUUGGCUGCGAAAAUUAACUUCUCUUUUUUCCUCCCGGAGCAGGCGAGCUGGCUCCAGGCGGCCGUGCCCUCGUGGCGGAUGCGCAGGACAGUCCAGCAGAAGCCUGGACUUUUGUGGGAUGAGAGCCCAAUGGAUAAGGAAUGAUCCAGCAGCUGCUGAAUCCAGGAGAAGUCAAGAGCUGUGCUGAGAUGUUACAGUCCUGGCGCUCUCCCUCCAGGAUGGGGUAAGGAAGAGGCCAUCAAGACAUUACGGAGAGUGUAGUGUGACACUGAACCCAUGAGGCCCUUGGAGGUGCUGGAGCAAAGCCCUACAAUGAUGUUUUCCUGAGGGACUCAUUGACCCUCUGGAUGGGGUAAAUGUCUGCAUCUGUAGCCACCCCCUUUCGCCCCUCCUGCAAACUGAAUGGGGCUUUCCUGGAAGCUCAUCCCGAAGCUAGGGCUGGUGGCUUGCUGUCACGUGAAGCAGUGCAAAUCCAGGGUCUGGACCGUGCUUGGACGGGUGCUCAUCCAGUUUCAGAGGGUAGGGGAGCAACUCUGCAAGGGAAGUUUUCCCAGGUUUCAGCAAGUCAAGUGACCAUCAGGGCAUGCGGGCUGAGAAGGCAGCGGACCUUCAUCUCUUAGCUCCUCUUUUCUGGUUACCUGUAGUGCUGUCUCUUCAACACGCAAAUUCCUCUCUGCUUUGCAUUACCCAUAAUUCAAACCAGUGCAAAUUGCUUUCCUUCACCACUGCUAUCUGUUUUCUGACUUAGCGUUUCUGCUGUUGUUGAGUUUUGGCCUUCACCCUUUGGGGGCUGGCACCCACUGAACCCAGCUGAGAAUGUGGCCCUUUGUGCUGGAGCUGUUUGCAGGAGCCGGGGAGCUUUGCCUUCCCCGCUGCGAGCCGUUUUGGCUGGCGAAUGUGUGUCCUUUUCUGGUGGGGAGGGAUUUAGGGGUGAGGGGGAGGUGAGAGCGCUUCUUGUGCUGGAAGAAAAAUGAUGAAUGACUCUCUUGUGCUUCUGAACAAAACCAGGAAAUUGGGGGGGGGGGGGGAAAAAGCAAAAAAGGAGGAAAUGAGAAACAGUAAAGAGGCCUCCCCCACCUUCAUAUAAGCAAUCACUCCACAGCAUCUGCAGCCCAGUAAAAGGGCCGUUCCCAGGAGACCUCGCACUCACCGGCCACACAGAUCUCCGUUAUUGCAAAGGAGCCUGGGGCUUGCACCCCCACCUCCCCUGUGCUGGCACCCCAAACAGCAUAACCAGGGCAGACCAAAGCUCGGUUUCUGUGGCCAUCGGUACCAGAGGUGCAUAUGUCCAACUUGGCUGGGGGGCCAUGGUCUGGAUCCGGCCUGAGGACAUGGUUGCUUUGCUGUUGAACCACCCGGAGCACUCGAUACGGUGUUUUGCUGGCACGCUGCUUGCAGCGUCACGUUACAGCCGUGCAGACGAUGCGAUACUCUAUCUGGUGUGAAAUCUGCUGGAGCAGAGUCACCCCUCCUGCCCUCUUCCCCUGAACUGUUUUGGAUGCAUUAGAUAUAGCAGGGAUGAGUGCAGAGCAGGUCACUGGGUAUUGUGGUUUGUGUCUGAUUUUAAGCAUCCUCAGAAUGGACUUAAUGUCUCGAGAAACCCUGUCGUAAGUUAUUUAGUUAAAAUGAUGCAGGAAUACACAACUCUGGUGGCACUGGAGGUGGUGGCACUUCAGCACGAGCCGUGGCUUAUGAGGUCUCCAUGCAGAGCGUGGUCCAACAAAGCUCUGCUGAGGCUUGUUCUCGCAUAGCCACAUCCACCUCUAUCCCUGCAAGGUGUUCAAGGCAGGUGGCUCAGUCUGAAGAAGCUCCUUCACUAUUAAAAACUGUAUCUGGUAGAGACUUUAACAAGCCAAACACUUCUUCGGUGUAACCUCACUGGUGUUACUGGUAUACUCAUUGUGUAAGGGGCUCAUCAGCUAUGGGAAAACUAUUCCUGAAUGUUGCUUUAAAACCAUUACAUAGGUUUUGAAAGUAGAGACACUGUGAGGGGAGCAACUCUCACUCACUUUCAGCUGGAGUUGACUUAAGCAGCUGAGAAUCCUCAUCAUGCUGGCCCAAACACCAGCUGCUAAUUUGGUUCUAUCUUUUAUCUCUCUUUUGUCUCCAUCAAGUCCCACCUGAGUUUAAAUGUUAGGUGGGGACAAGCAGAGAGCCUGGCUGUUUCUCCUUCUCAGGCUGAGCCUGCAGAGGAGCUCUUCUUUGCCUGUAUGUAGGUGUUAGGUGGGGUUUGCCAACUGUUGUCCUUUGUGGUGAGGAUGAUCAUAUGGCAUUUGAGUCCUGUUUGGGGAUUUUCAGUGUCAGGGCUCUGUAGGAGAAUUGUUAGUAACAGUAUUAGUGCAGGUACUGUGGAUGCUCUAUACUGCUUUUAUUUCUUGUAUUCAGAGAGUAUAUUUUCAACCAGACUUCAGUGCUUCUGUGACCCUAUUCUCAUUCUUGUGAAUCCAGAGGGUAUAAUGCAUCUCUGAAAGAUACAUUUGCUGUCCUGUGUGAGCAUAAGGAGAGUUUCCUCUCAUGAAAAGUUCAGUCUAAAUCAGCACCUUGGAUAUUUGCAGUUGCUUUGAAGUUCCCACCAAUCACCUUGUGAGCAGAAGGGGCUCCUCAUCCUGUUUCACAAAUGCAGUGUCCUCAAUAUGUAACUCUGCUUGGUAUGUUCCCAAAGGACCUACCUUUUGAGGGGCUGGGGACAGGGAUGGCUGGACUUGUGGAAGGGGCUGCGAGUGCUCACAUGGAGGAAAAACAGAAACACCCUAGUUGCAGAGGAGGUACAGACACCAUGCUGUUGUGGGAGAAGACAAGGAGUAAAAUGAGGUUGUAUCCUUGCAAAGUGGUAUCUUCAGUUUUUCCCUAAUUAGUUAAUGGUGGUGUUGGAGGCAAUGCUAGGGAUUUGGGCUGUUCAGCUGAGCUCAAGAGGAAAAGUAACAUUGCUCUUGAGUUGAGAGCAGCUCCCAGGGUUGUUCAGUCUCUAGAGGGAAGUGCCAAGAUGGACAGUAUUGCAAAAAGUCUCAGGUCUUCUUUCCACAACCCACAGGGUAGUGCCAGCAGUGCCCACAGGAGCCUGGUGAGGAGUGUCUGGUCCCUGAAGGAGGGCACCUUACAAUUUCCCCCAUGCCUCCUUUUGGGUUUAUACCAGUGAUGCUUUUAAAGCAGGGUCCUUGGGUGGCCUCGGAGGGGGAUAUGCUGAGCCAGCAGUUGCUGCUGCUGGAUCAGACCCUGGGCAGGUAUGUGAAGUUUUGGGGAAGCUCUGGAGCAUCACAGCCUCCUCUGCUGGCCACCCCUGUGUGAGUGGGACCUUUCACUCUUAUUUGUGCUGGCACAAACGGGCAGUAUUUGAGCCUGGUGAAUUUACUUUCUCUGGAAGUGACUUGAUUGGAAACCCCGGAUGACUGCUGCAAUUUUGGUCCCAAGCCCUUCAAAUUAGCUGGGUCCUCUCAAAGGGAGAGAAAUCUCUGCACUUGUCUUUCUUGGGAAAGGCUCCUGAGGGAAGUCUGACUCCUCUGUGGUUUAUGUAACACCAUGCUGAGGUGUCUGUGUGUCCUGACGUCUUACUAAUUUGCCAGGGAUGAUUUUUUGGGGUUAUUUUUAACAGAUGCAUUGUGCAACUAAUGGGCUUUUUAUUGGUGGCAAACAAGCUGAGCCAGGCAGGAAUGCUGCUGAGGUUAGGUGGGCAGACUUAUCUCUCAGUGCUGUAGAAAUAACUUGUUCAGUUUUUGCCUUUAAAAAAAAACAGGGAGAGAGAAGACCUAUGUUUCUCCUGUAGCCUGAUGUUACUACUCCCCUGUGGAAGCAGCGGCAGAGUGGCUGAGGUGCACGCACUGCAUCUCAUGGCCUGAUUUUUGUGUCUAAAGUUACUCUCUUGCUGGGAGGUAAUGGCUUUGCCCAGCGUAGCCGGGUUGUGCAGGGCCCAUCGUGCCCUGGUAUGAACAGCUGCUCCCUGCAAAGCUGUGGGAUGCUCGGGGCUAAAUGCAGGGAGCUGGUGAGUCUUGAUGAAGGCUGUGGAAACUGGUGUUUCUUAUCAUACUUCUUGCUUGAUAAGCUCAAAACUGGCUGUGGACACAUAGCAUUACAAAACAUUUUCACAACCGUUCUGGGACAUGAGCAAGGUCGUAUCAGAAACCAGUACAAUUAAGGGAAAUGUGGGUACUGCUGCAGAGUGUGUGGCAGCUGCCUUGAGCGUGCCUAGGGGUGCUCAGUGUCUGAGCCCCGUGGGGCUGAGGCUGGGGCAGCUCCCCGUUUGGUGCAAGCCCCAGUGCCCCAGGCUCAGCCCCUGUCCCUGCAGAGUGUGUGCCACCACCGUCCAGCCUACACUCAAGUGAAAAGUAUCAAACUUCAGCAGCCAAGAAAAGAGUGCUGACCUAUUUUGGACACUUAUUUAUAUUCAAGUUGCUUCUCUCUGUCUCUGUGAAAAAGUUUUUGUGACUCCAGUACUUUUAAAAAGGUUUUCCCCCUCCCAUAGCUUUUGUUUUUAAGACGAUAUAAUCUUAGGCUAACAUCUGCAUUUUUCAGUAUUCAGAAUAAAUGUCGUAUUAUUUCUUUUAGUUUUCUUGCUGAAACAACACUUUUACAGAGCAAAGCCUGCUUGGUAAUACAGAGAAGCCUUUGGUUGUAUUGUCUCAAUUUUUACAGGUCCUCUUUUUAUUUAAGGUCUUUGCUACAAUCCAAAGCAUUCAGACCAAAAGAGGAAAAAAAGUUGAAAAUGUGUCACUGCUGUCUCUGACAUGAGCCGCAAUGAAAAGUCAUCUCGUGUGGAGUCACAAAAAUUCUGGAAAGCUGUUGUUUUUAGUUUCUGGGUUUUUUGUCACUAACUGACUGUCUGUUGCUUUGCUGAGAUCUUGAUCUUCUCCUGGGAGGUCUUAUCGGUGAAAAUGGUGGGCUGAUGGUCAUGGUGCUUUUGUUUGUUUGUUUUUGUUUUCUUUUUUUUAAAGUUUUUGUUGUUGUUUGUUUGCUUUUUUUUGGGGGGGGGGGGAGGUGUUUUUCAGCUAGCUAUUGUCUGAAGUUUAUAUGCUGCAGUUCAGAGUUAACUUCUGAUGUCUUUUAGAUGGAAACUGUAGUGUCUAUGACAGAAUUGUAUCAUUGGAAUAAUAAUGAAAUUUGAACUGGUCUCUCAGUGCUGCUGUGUGCAUUGACAUUAGCUGGAUACUUGUUACCCUGCAUAUUUUAGGACUUUCAUUUAUUACUGUGAACAGUAGGAAUGUAAUUUAGGCACUUAACCACCAGGAAAAAGAAAGGCAAAUGCUGAGGGUAUGGUAUCCAUGUGAAUGAGUGACGGUUGUUAUAGUCCAUUGUAUUCCGUGAUUUUUCUUACUUUAAGGUAUGAGCUUGAUGCAGUGACAUGGCAGUUGUAAACAACAUCUGUCCUGAGCACAAGGAAUUUCCCUGGAGCUGACUUUAACUGCCCCUGGCUGGCAACUUUAGCAGAGCUGGGGAUGGAGAGCACUUUGAGGAACACAUACCCUAUGCAUCAUAUAUCAGGUCUGAAGCCUCAGUUUUCCUAUACUGGAAGAACAUGAAGAAAUUUUUUUUUUCUUUUUCCUUGAGUCCCUUAGAAUUCAGUCCCUUGUGGUUUUGCUUAGUUGUCUUCACGGUGCUGUUGGUGUUGUGUACACGUGUGUUGGCUCCACACUUUACAAACCAGAAUGUCAUCUGGGAAAACUUUUGAUAAAGUUACUGGGGAACACUUUUAGUUUCUGGGUUGUUGGUUUCUUGGAGAGGUUUGGAUCCAAAUGUGAGCACUGGGUGUUCUUCUUUCCCUGUAUGGCUGCCACCAUAUUUGCCUCUAAGUAGGAAGACUGAUUAAAUUACAGUGCAUCUCUGUUAAUGUGCAUGUAUGGCAGUUCCCUUAAGUUUCAUAUGAGGGGUUUUGUUUUUUUUUUUUUUCCUGUGGUGAGUAAUCAUGCUCAUACAUCUAGAGGGUUGAGGAAAGAGCAGUGCACAGCAAUUGCUAGAUAUGCAUUUCAAAAUUCCCCAUGGAAGACUGUCUAAUUAGAUUUAAUGAGCUGGCUCUUGAGCAUGCACGUGCGUGUGUGCUUUUCACCACCUCUCUCUAGCUAACAGGAUCAGAAGCGCUCAUGUGUGAGUACGUGGGAGAGAUGUUUUUGUACUUGCAGAGUGCAGGAUUGAAGCAGACUUUUACCUGCGUUUCUCAUGUCUGUGCUGUAAUAAGAGACUUCCAUCGUGGAGGUGGAGCAUUUGGUAAUGCAGGUGGUAAAUUGGAAGUGAGGUUUGCUGUGGUUUCAGCUGCUUAGGUGAGCAGGGAUGGGAGCAGAGAAUCUUUGAUAGCUGAUAUUCCACCCUCCAUAACACACUCCCAAGACCCGUUGGUGUGGGGGGCAGCAGAGAUACAGUAGGUCAUAGGACCUGUGCCACUGAGCUACUAGAGGUCUUAAGGUUUCCCACCCCUCCAUUGCUGGUGACAGCCCUGAGUUGUGUAAUCUGGCGUUUUUGCAGGGGUCACAGCUAUGGGUCAGUGCUCUGUUUCCAGGAAGGACCAGUCUGGGUAGAGAGCUGUGCUGAGAGGGUGGCCAUUUUAAUGAGGGAUUUCUCUUUGUGUUUUUGCUUUUUUUUUAUUAAUUAACCUUUGUUUUCUGUCAAGAAAGCUGUCCCCAGGCACAACUUAGUGAGGCAAACAUGCUUGGACAAAGGGAGCAUUAAGCUUGCACAGAGGGAGGGGAGAGGGUUACACCUCUAAUUACUUUGUGUGCAUGUAAUUUUUUUUUUCUUUUCUUUCCCCUCUGGUGACUGAUGGGUCUUGAAAGGACUUGCCGAGGUUGCUGUGUGACUCACCAGGGCAGAGCGUGUUCUGGGCUGAAGCUGCGGGCUGUCUGGGCCCCGAUGACGAGGGCAGGCAAUGCCCUUGUGCUGCUGUUGCUCACGCCUGAGUCAGCGCUUGUGCAGCACGGCUGCUCCCAAGCUGGGGGCCAGGCUGUGGGUUUUGCUGCUCGUGCCGUGGCUGAGCUGAACGGGAGGAUGGAGAGGUUUGGUUCUGCCAUGUGAGCACUCUCUUGAGUGGGGUGGUUUGGAAGCACCUGGAAUGGCAUCUUUUGGUAGCAGUGUACCUUUGUGGGUGCUCAGAGCCAUCCUGAGCAGAUGAUCUGAAGCGUGGAGCUGCAAAACUGUAUCUGCCAACCAAGGGCAAGAGAAGGAGACAGUCCUGGACCCCUGCAUCUCUACCCUUAAAUAGGGACACAAGCAGAGAAAAAGGGAUCGGUGCUCUCCCACUCUUCUAAUUAACAGCAGACUCCAAACCACCCAACCUACUAUCUUGUCUCUUUCUCUGUCUUCAUGCCUGGCUCUGGAGCUCAUGAUAGACACGCAGGCGCUCCUGAACAAAAUGAGACCUGGUUUUGGCUGGGAGGAAGUUAGGGCUCAUGAUGUUCAUGUGGGAAGCAAGAAGAGGGAGGAAGGGAAAAUAGGGUGGAGGUGGAAAAUCGUGAAUAAGCUGUUGUUCAGGGAAGAGGAAGAGAAACUGAGGAUGCCCAGGAGAGGGGAGAAGGAACUUGUGGAGUGGGCUGCAGUCCUGGCCCUGAAGCCAGUGGGUUAGGAGGGGUUGGCAGGGAGUUGGGGAUCUGGUUUUAGGCAAGCAGUGUAAAAUAUGGUGUGGAGUUCAAGGAGGGAAGCUCCAAAGCCAGUGGGCUUGGGUCCUAAAGAAGCCACUGGAGGGAAUGCAUUUUAGCCUGUUUUCUGUGAAGGUUUUCCCUUUCCCACUAAUUUUUGGAUCCAUUGACCAACUCCCUGCAGGUGGCUUGGUGCAGAGGACUGACCAAUGAUUUCCUUCCUAAAAGUCUGGUGAAAAUCACAGGCCAGGUAGAGGAGGAAGGGCCUUGCUAAUACCUGCUUGGAGAAGAAGGCAGUAAUGUGGGUUCAACUACUCUAUUAGACAUCAGGGCAUCUACGUGGGUGCUAGUGGCCAAGAAGCACUCAUGGGUCGCACUGCUCCUGAGGUGGCUUGCUCUCCCUUUGGUUAAACAAUGCACUUUCUGCACUAGAAUCAUAAAAUCAUUUAGGUUGGAAAAGGUCCUUGAGAUCACUGAGUGCAACCAUAAACCUAACACUGCAAAGUCUACCAUGUUCCUAAAUGCCACAUCUACUUGUCUUUUAAAUACCUGUAGGGAUGGUGACUCAACCACUUCCCUGGGCAGCCUUAUCUGAUACUUGACAACCCUUGCAGUGAAUAAAUUUUUCCUAACAUCCAAUCGAAACCUCCCUGAUGCAAUUUGAGGCUGUUUCCUCUUGUUUUACCACUUUUUUGGAGAAGAGACCAACCCCCACCUCGCUACAACCUCCUUUCAGGUAGCUAUAGAGAGGGAUAAGAUCUUCCCUCAGUUCAGGAGUGGCUUCCACCCCCUUCUUCUACCUUCCAGUUUCCUGUUCUCACCAGGUGAAAUAUUUCAGACACAGUCUCCUGGUCUUUUGGGGACUGCUGCCUUUGAGGAAGGGUCAUUUUGGCUGUUGUUGAGAGGAUACUGUCAGCCCCGGAAGUUUGGAGUGGCUAUUGGUCCUGCAGGGUAUGAACACCGUCCUGUGCAUCUCAGUUGGCCCUGAUAGGAGACAGGAUCCAGGGCAAAAAUGGGCCUUUGUUCUGUGUCUGUUUGGCUACUUUUUGGGUUGUCUUGGAAUAUAGCGAGAACAGUAUGUCUUGGAGGCAAUGUGGCCAGAAGAGAUUCUUGCAGAGUUAGGUUUUGCAUAUGGAAAAAGCCUAGCCCUGCCAUGGCAGCUGGGAAAUGCAGGGGAUGGGGCCCUUCCUCAAGCUAGGUGGUUCAAGGUUUGUGUCCUAUAGCUUGAGAGAUUGGGCUUUUCCACUUCUGGGCAUGCCACUCAAAAACUCGAGUUUUUAACUAUUGGGACUUUUUUUUUUUCCCUGCUUUUCCAGCCUUCCCUUCUUCAUUUCACCAAUUCCCCUUUCCUGCUCGGAGGUGAUCCCAUACUUUAAUAAAGCUCAGUGUUUCUGAGAAAAUACUUGUCAGUGGAUUUCCCCCCUGCAUCCUCCUAUGAAUAUCUCUUACAUUGGGUUCAUUAAUGAAAAAUUGUCUCUAGCAAAAGGGAAUGAACAUGUUUGCCAUUUCAAGCAAAUUUCUAGUCUAGCUGGGGUGGGGAGAUCUGUCUCCAGUGUUGCCUCUUUGGUUCCCUCAGGUCUUCUCUGCUGAUGGAAGAUCAGUUGCAUCUUACAGCUUGCAACAGGGUUAUAAACUCUUUCUUUGAAAAACAAAAAACAAACAAACCAAAAAAAACCUAACCCACACCCUCCCAACUGUCUGGAGUUCUUUUGUGAAGUGGAGCUGAGGGACUGCAGCAAACUACCUCUUUUGCAGGAAUCCCUUUUGGCUUGAAAGGAAUUAUUCAUGUAGUUAUGCAAUCCAUGUUGAAUUUUAAAUUUGUCAGAGUUUUCCCCUGCCCCCUCCCUUCUGUCCACCAGCCCAACUUGGCUCCUGCGGAGUCUCUUCAUCGACUGACAGGCUUUAGAAAGAGUCCUAAUGUGUAAGUGCAGUCCUGGUCCUGCAGCCCUCCGUGCUCCAAGAUCUUUGCUUGCAGCAAGUGGCUGUGGUGCAGAAUGUGAGUCUAGAAUCUCUCCCAGUUUAAG